Molecule: ribosomal RNA, 465 nt
Filed under: uncultured bacterium
Lineage: Bacteria
Description: partial 16S ribosomal RNA
Rfam family: Bacterial small subunit ribosomal RNA
Source: RNAcentral
GACGAAUGCUGGCGGCGUGCUUAACACAUGCAAGUCGAACGGAAAGGCCCCCUUGUGGGGUACUCGAGUGGCGAACGGGUGAGUAACACGUGAGUAACCUACCCUUGACUUUGGGAUAACUUCAGGAAACUGGGGCUAAUACCGGAUAGGAGCUCCUGCUGCAUGGUGGGGGUUGGAAAGUUUCGGCGGUUGGGGAUGGACUCGCGGCUUAUCAGCUUGUUGGUGGGGUAGUGGCUCACCAAGGCUUUGACGGGUAGCCGGCCUGAGAGGGUGACCGGCCACAUUGGGACUGAGAUACGGCCCAGACUCCUACGGGAGGCAGCAGUGGGGAAUAUUGCACAAUGGGCGGAAGCCUGAUGCAGCAACGCCGCGUGCGGGAUGACGGCCUUCGGGUUGUAAACCGCUUUCGCCUGUGACGAAGCGUGAGUGACGGUAAUGGGUAAAGAAGCACCGGCUAACUACGUG